Molecule: long non-coding RNA, 361 nt
Filed under: Gossypium raimondii (Peruvian cotton)
Lineage: Eukaryota; Viridiplantae; Streptophyta; Magnoliopsida; Malvales; Malvaceae
Description: long non-coding RNA (GRAI_LNC010281)
Source: RNAcentral
AAAGAAAUUUUUCGAAAGGUGUUAAUUUUAGUUCGUUUGUUACCUUCGUUCUAUUUUAUUUUACUUAUUUAUGCUUUACAAAUACAUUUUAACAAAAAUAUAUAAAAAAAAUACAAAGAGGGGGUUAGAUUUUACCUAUUUUGGUGGUGGUUAAAGGAGAGAACCGAAAGGUUCUUCUCACUUUCGGCCCGAUUGGCUGAGAUCUCGGCGCUCCUAGCCUCAAAAUCGGACUCCUCGCGAAAAGGCGCUUAAAAAGGAACUAUUUUAUUUUCGCCGAUCACCGUAUACGGCGGCGCCGGCACCGAUGACCGGCGUCUGGUGCGGUGGCUACGACCGGAGCCCUCACUAGACCCAUGGCCGG